GCUGUGGCUCAGUGGUAGAGUGCUUGCCUCCCAUGUGAGAUACUGGGUUCUAUUCUCAGCACUGCA
Molecule: transfer RNA, 66 nt
Filed under: Marmota monax (woodchuck)
Lineage: Eukaryota; Metazoa; Chordata; Mammalia; Rodentia; Sciuridae
Description: tRNA.Gly
Source: RNAcentral